GGGAAUGACUACACCUUGGAUGAGAGUUUGGUACAUUAAAUAGGAAUAGAGUGGGACUUCACCCUCCACUAUAGCCUUCUGACUCAGAUUCCAAAGUGCUAUUUGAAUUCAGAUUUCCAGUAUCUGCCGUGUCUCCCUUUCUUGGGCUGACAUGUUGAGGGGUCACAGUCCCAAAAUUAAAGGUCAGCCAUUCAGAACACAGAUGAAAAGAAAUUUCUUCACUUCAGU
Long non-coding RNA from Pristis pectinata (smalltooth sawfish), 228 nucleotides. RefSeq lists it as uncharacterized. The transcript is spliced from 3 exons. NCBI's taxonomy places the organism in Eukaryota, Metazoa, Chordata, Chondrichthyes, Rhinopristiformes, Pristidae. The record is from RefSeq and is a predicted model, not a curated record.